The sequence is a ribosomal RNA, 944 nucleotides long. It matches the Rfam family "Eukaryotic large subunit ribosomal RNA", at positions 35 to 964 of the family's 3401-position model.
UAAGCAUAUCAAUAAGCGGAGGAAAAGAAACUAACAAGGAUUCCCCUAGUAACUGCGAGUGAAGCGGGAAAAGCUCAAAUUUAAAAUCUGGCGGUCUUUGGCUGUCCGAGUUGUAAUCUAGAGAAGUGCUAUCCGCGCUGGACCGUGUACAAGUCUCCUGGAAUGGAGCGUCAUAGAGGGUGAGAAUCCCGUCUUUGACACGGACUGCCAGGGCUUUGUGAUGUGCUCUCAAAGAGUCGAGUUGUUUGGGAAUGCAGCUCAAAAUGGGUGGUAAAUUCCAUCUAAAGCUAAAUAUUGGCGAGAGACCGAUAGCGAACAAGUACCGUGAGGGAAAGAUGAAAAGAACUUUGGAAAGAGAGUUAAACAGUACGUGAAAUUGCUGAAAGGGAAACGCUUGAAGUCAGUCGCGUUGUCCAGGGAUCAUCCUUGCUUUUGCUUGGUGCACUUUCUGGUUGACGGGUCAGCAUCAAUUUUGACCAUUGGAAAAAGAUUAGGGGAAUGUGGCAUCUUUGGAUGUGUUAUAGCCCUUGGUUGCAUACAAUGGUUGGGAUUGAGGAACUCAGCACGCCGCAAGGCCGGGUUUUUAACCACGUACGUGCUUAGGAUGCUGGCAUAAUGGCUUUAAUCGACCCGUCUUGAAACACGGACCAAGGAGUCUAACAUGCCUGCGAGUGUUUGGGUGGAAAACCCGAGCGCGUAAUGAAAGUGAAAGUUGAGAUCCCUGUCGUGGGGAGCAUCGACGCCCGGACCAGACCUUUUGUGACGGUUCCGCGGUAGAGCAUGUAUGUUGGGACCCGAAAGAUGGUGAACUAUGCCUGAAUAGGGUGAAGCCAGAGGAAACUCUGGUGGAGGCUCGUAGCGAUUCUGACGUGCAAAUCGAUCGUCAAAUUUGGGUAUAGGGGCGAAAGACUAAUCGAACCAUCUAGUAAGCUGGUUCCUGCCGA